Molecule: long non-coding RNA, 140 nt
Organism: Etheostoma spectabile (orangethroat darter)
Lineage: Eukaryota; Metazoa; Chordata; Actinopteri; Perciformes; Percidae
Exons: 3
Source: RefSeq, a predicted model, not a curated record
UUCGAUAGUACUACUCCUAUUGCAGAUCUCCCACAGAAUAAUGUUGUUGCUGAAGUCUUAGUAACAGCUUUGAGUAAUCCCAACAAUACCUUCAAUGUGAGCAUAGAUCCGGGAUCAGUCAAAGUAUUUGCAGAUCCAGU